ACGCCACAUCUGCGAGAUGUACAAGAAGACUGAUGCAUACGUCGGGACAACGGAAGAGACUCUGACACGAGGGGCAUGGAGAAACCUGUUUUUUUUGUUGUUUUUUGAGGUUGUUCAUCGUUAAAGUACCAGUCUAAGGAGCUUGGAAAGAUGAGCUUCUAGAACUUGUAUGUGAGGAGCAGGAGCUCCCUGAACGAGAACCCCGGCCACGUCGUCAUUUUUUUGAGGUUGUCCGUCGACAAUGUACCAGUCUAAGGAGCUUGGAAAGAUGAGCUUCUAGAACUUGUAUGUGAGGAGCAGGAGCUCCCUGAACGAGAACCCCGGCCACGUCGUCAUUUUUUUGAGGUUGUCCGUCGUCAAUGUACCAGUCUAAGGAGCUUGGAAAGAUGAGCUUCUAGAACUUGUAUGUGAGGAGCAGGAGCUCCCUGAACGAGAACCCCGGCCACGUCGUCAUUUUUUGAGGUUGUCCGUCGACAAUGUACCAGUCUAAGGAGCUUGGAAAGAUGAGCUUCUAGAACUUAUAUGUGAGGAGCAGGAGCUCCCUGAAGGAGAACCCCGGCCACUUCGUCAUCUUCCCCUUGGAUGUCGUACCGCCACAUCUGGCAGAUGUACAAGGAUCAGUCUGAACAGCGGAGGUGGUAGCAGGAGCUGCGGCGGUAUUUGUCCUGCAGGUGUCUUGAGCGGCUUGCCAGAUGCUUUGCGGGUGCCGGCCCCGUGCGAGUGUCUUGAGCGGCUUGCCAGAUGCAGCAGAAGAGCAGCAGCUCACUGAAGGAGAAGCCCGGUCACGUUGUCAUCUUCCCCAUCGAUGUCGUACCGCCACAUCUGGCAGAUGUGCAAGAAGUCAGAGGUCCUCUUCUGGACAGCAGAGGAGGCCAGAGUGAAGAAGAAAAGCAGCAGCUCGCUGACGGAGAACCCUGGCCACGUCGUCAUCUUCCCCUUGGAUGUCGUACCGCCACAUCUGCGAGAUGUACAAGAAGACUGAUGCAUACGUCGGGACAACGGAAGAGACUCUGACACGAGGGGCAUGGAGAAACCUGUUUUUUUUGUUGUUUUUUUGAGGUUGUUCAUCGUUAAAGUACCAGUCUAAGGAGCUUGGAAAGAUGAGCUUCUAGAACUUGUAUGUGAGGAGCAGGAGCUCCCUGAACGAGAACCCCGGCCACGUCGUCAUUUUUUUGAGGUUGUCCGUCGACAAUGUACCAGUCUAAGGAGCUUGGAAAGAUGAGCUUCUAGAACUUGUAUGUGAGGAGCAGGAGCUCCCUGAACGAGAACCCCGGCCACGUCGUCAUUUUUUUGAGGUUGUCCGUCGUCAAUGUACCAGUCUAAGGAGCUUGGAAAGAUGAGCUUCUAGAACUUGUAUGUGAGGAGCAGGAGCUCCCUGAACGAGAACCCCGGCCACGUCGUCAUUUUUUUGAGGUUGUCCGUCGACAAUGUACCAGUCUAAGGAGCUUGGAAAGAUGAGCUUCUAGAACUUGUAUGUGAGGAGCAGGAGCUCCCUGAACGAGAACCCCGGCCACGUCGUCAUUUUUUGAGGUUGUCCGUCGUCAAUGUACCAGUCUAAGGAGCUUGGAAAGAUGAGCUUCUAGAACUUGUAUGUGAGGAGCAGGAGCUCCCUGAACGAGAACCCCGGCCACGUCGUCAUUUUUUUGAGGUUGUCCGUCGACAAUGUACCAGUCUAAGGAGCUUGGAAAGAUGAGCUUCUAGAACUUGUAUGUGAGGAGCAGGAGCUCCCUGAACGAGAACCCCGGCCACGUCGUCAUUUUUUUGAGGUUGUCCGUCGACAAUGUACCAGUCUAAGGAGCUUGGAAAGAUGAGCUUCUAGAACUUGUAUGUGAGGAGCAGGAGCUCCCUGAACGAGAACCCCGGCCACGUCGUCAUUUUUUUGAGGUUGUCCGUCGUCAAUGUACCAGUCUAAGGAGCUUGGAAAGAUGAGCUUCUAGAACUUAUAUGUGAGGAGCAGGAGCUCCCUGAAGGAGAACCCCGGCCACUUCGUCAUCUUCCCCUUGGAUGUCGUACCGCCACAUCUGGCAGAUGUACAAGGAUCAGUCUGAACAGCGGAGGUGGUAGCAGGAGCUGCGGCGGUAUUUGUCCUGCAGGUGUCUUGAGCGGCUUGCCAGAUGCUUUGCGGGUGCCGGCCCCGUGCGAGUGUCUUGAGCGGCUUGCCAGAUGCUUUGCCGGUUGCAGCAGAAGAGCAGCAGCUCACUGAAGGAGAAGCCCGGUCACGUUGUCAUCUUCCCCAUCGAUGUCGUACCGCCACAUCUGGCAGAUGUGCAAGAAGUCAGAGGUCCUCUUCUGGACAGCAGAGGAGGCCAGAGUGAAGAAGAAAAGCAGCAGCUCGCUGACGGAGAACCCUGGCCACGUCGUCAUCUUCCCCUUGGAUGUCGUACCGCCACAUCUGCGAGAUGUACAAGAAGACUGAUGCAUACGUCGGGACAACGGAAGAGACUCUGACACGAGGGGCAUGGAGAAACCUGUUUUUUUUGUUUUUUUGAGGUUGUUCAUCGUUAAAGUACCAGUCUAAGGAGCUUGGAAAGAUGAGCUUCUAGAACUUGUAUGUGAGGAGCAGGAGCUCCCUGAACGAGAACCCCGGCCACGUCGUCAUUUUUUUGAGGUUGUCCGUCGACAAUGUACCAGUCUAAGGAGCUUGGAAAGAUGAGCUUCUAGAACUUAUAUGUGAGGAGCAGGAGCUCCCUGAAGGAGAACCCCGGCCACUUCGUCAUCUUCCCCUUGGAUGUCGUACCGCCACAUCUGGCAGAUGUACAAGGAUCAGUCUGAACAGCGGAGGUGGUAGCAGGAGCUGCGGCGGUAUUUGUCCUGCAGGUGUCUUGAGCGGCUUGCCAGAUGCUUUGCGGGUGCCGGCCCCGUGCGAGUGUCUUGAGCGGCUUGCCAGAUGCAGCAGAAGAGCAGCAGCUCACUGAAGGAGAAGCCCGGUCACGUUGUCAUCUUCCCCAUCGAUGUCGUACCGCCACAUCUGGCAGAUGUGCAAGAAGUCAGAGGUCCUCUUCUGGACAGCAGAGGAGGCCAGAGUGAAGAAGAAAAGCAGCAGCUCGCUGACGGAGAACCCUGGCCACGUCGUCAUCUUCCCCUUGGAUGUCGUACCGCCACAUCUGCGAGAUGUACAAGAAGACUGAUGCAUACGUCGGGACAACGGAAGAGACUCUGACACGAGGGGCAUGGAGAAACCUGUUUUUUUUGUUGUUUUUUGAGGUUGUUCAUCGUUAAAGUACCAGUCUAAGGAGCUUGGAAAGAUGAGCUUCUAGAACUUGUAUGUGAGGAGCAGGAGCUCCCUGAACGAGAACCCCGGCCACGUCGUCAUUUUUUUGAGGUUGUCCGUCGUCAAUGUACCAGUCUAAGGAGCUUGGAAAGAUGAGCUUCUAGAACUUAUAUGUGAGGAGCAGGAGCUCCCUGAAGGAGAACCCCGGCCACUUCGUCAUCUUCCCCUUGGAUGUCGUACCGCCACAUCUGGCAGAUGUACAAGGAUCAGUCUGAACAGCGGAGGUGGUAGCAGGAGCUGCGGCGGUAUUUGUCCUGCAGGUGUCUUGAGCGGCUUGCCAGAUGCUUUGCGGGUGCCGGCCCCGUGCGAGUGUCUUGAGCGGCUUGCCAGAUGCAGCAGAAGAGCAGCAGCUCACUGAAGGAGAAGCCCGGUCACGUUGUCAUCUUCCCCAUCGAUGUCGUACCGCCACAUCUGGCAGAUGUGCAAGAAGUCAGAGGUCCUCUUCUGGACAGCAGAGGAGGCCAGAGUGAAGAAGAAAAGCAGCAGCUCGCUGACGGAGAACCCUGGCCACGUCGUCAUCUUCCCCUUGGAUGUCGUACCGCCACAUCUGCGAGAUGUACAAGAAGACUGAUGCAUACGUCGGGACAACGGAAGAGACUCUGACACGAGGGGCAUGGAGAAACCUGUUUUUUUGUUGUUUUUUUGAGGUUGUUCAUCGUUAAAGUACCAGUCUAAGGAGCUUGGAAAGAUGAGCUUCUAGAACUUGUAUGUGAGGAGCAGGAGCUCCCUGAACGAGAACCCCGGCCACGUCGUCAUUUUUUUGAGGUUGUCCGUCGACAAUGUACCAGUCUAAGGAGCUUGGAAAGAUGAGCUUCUAGAACUUGUAUGUGAGGAGCAGGAGCUCCCUGAACGAGAACCCCGGCCACGUCGUCAUUUUUUUGAGGUUGUCCGUCGUCAAUGUACCAGUCUAAGGAGCUUGGAAAGAUGAGCUUCUAGAACUUGUAUGUGAGGAGCAGGAGCUCCCUGAAGGAGAACCCCGGCCACUUCGUCAUCUUCCCCUUGGAUGUCGUACCGCCACAUCUGGCAGAUGUACAAGGAUCAGUCUGAACAGCGGAGGUGGUAGCAGGAGCUGCGGCGGUAUUUGUCCUGCAGGUGUCUUGAGCGGCUUGCCAGAUGCUUUGCGGGUGCCGGCCCCGUGCGAGUGUCUUGAGCGGCUUGCCAGAUGCUUUGCCGGUUGCAGCAGAAGAGCAGCAGCUCACUGAAGGAGAAGCCCGGUCACGUUGUCAUCUUCCCCAUCGAUGUCGUACCGCCACAUCUGGCAGAUGUGCAAGAAGUCAGAGGUCCUCUUCUGGACAGCAGAGGAGGCCAGAGUGAAGAAGAAAAGCAGCAGCUCGCUGACGGAGAACCCUGGCCACGUCGUCAUCUUCCCCUUGGAUGUCGUACCGCCACAUCUGCGAGAUGUACAAGAAGACUGAUGCAUACGUCGGGACAACGGAAGAGACUCUGACACGAGGGGCAUGGAGAAACCUGUUUUUUUUGUUGUUUUUUUGAGGUUGUUCAUCGUUAAAGUACCAGUCUAAGGAGCUUGGAAAGAUGAGCUUCUAGAACUUGUAUGUGAGGAGCAGGAACUCCCUGAAGGAGAACCCCGGCCACUUCGUCAUCUUCCCCUUGGAUGUCGUACCGCCACAUCUGGCAGAUGUACAAGGAUCAGUCUGGACAGCGGAGGUGGUAGCAGGAGCUGCGGCGGUAUUUGUCCUGCAGGUGUCUUGAGCGGCUUGCCAGAUGCUUUGCGGGUGCCGGCCCCGUGCGAGUGUCUUGAGCGGCUUGCCAGAUGCUUUGCCGGUUGCAGCAGAAGAGCAGCAGCUCACUGAAGGAGAAGCCCGGUCACGUUGUCAUCUUCCCCAUCGAUGUCGUACCGCCACAUCUGGCAGAUGUGCAAGAAGUCAGAGGUCCUCUUCUGGACAGCAGAGGAGGCCAGAGUGAAGAAGAAAAGCAGCAGCUCGCUGACGGAGAACCCUGGCCACGUCGUCAUCUUCCCCUUGGAUGUCGUACCGCCACAUCUGCGAGAUGUACAAGAAGACUGAUGCAUACGUCGGGACAACGGAAGAGACUCUGACACGAGGGGCAUGGAGAAACCUGUUUUUUUUGUUGUUUUUUUGAGGUUGUUCAUCGUUAAAGUACCAGGUAUAGAACAUUUUAAUGUUUAGUGUGUGUGUGUGUGUGAGAAGAUGUCC
Molecule: long non-coding RNA, 5445 nt
Organism: Oreochromis niloticus (Nile tilapia)
Lineage: Eukaryota; Metazoa; Chordata; Actinopteri; Cichliformes; Cichlidae
Exons: 34
Source: RefSeq, a predicted model, not a curated record